This 850-nucleotide ribosomal RNA is filed under the name uncultured Streptococcus sp. RNAcentral describes it as "bacterial SSU rRNA". It matches the Rfam family "Bacterial small subunit ribosomal RNA", at positions 1 to 839 of the family's 1533-position model. The record is from RNAcentral. Lineage: Bacteria; Bacillati; Bacillota; Bacilli; Lactobacillales; Streptococcaceae.
UAGAGUUUGAUCAUGGCUCAGGACGAACGCUGGCGGCGUGCCUAAUACAUGCAAGUAGAACGCUGAAGAGAGGAGCUUGCUCUUCUUGGAUGAGUUGCGAACGGGUGAGUAACGCGUAGGUAACCUGCCUUGUAGCGGGGGAUAACUAUUGGAAACGAUAGCUAAUACCGCAUAACAAUGGAUGACACAUGUCAUUUAUUUGAAAGGGGCAAUUGUUCCACUACAAGAUGGACCUGCGUUGUAUUAGCUAGUAGGUGAGGUAAUGGCUCACCUAGGCGACGAUACAUAGCCGACCUGAGAGGGUGAUCGGCCACACUGGGACUGAGACACGGCCCAGACUCCUACGGGAGGCAGCAGUAGGGAAUCUUCGGCAAUGGGGGCAACCCUGACCGAGCAACGCCGCGUGAGUGAAGAAGGUUUUCGGAUCGUAAAGCUCUGUUGUAAGUCAAGAACGGGUGUGAGAGUGGAAAGUUCACACUGUGACGGUAGCUUACCAGAAAGGGACGGCUAACUACGUGCCAGCAGCCGCGGUAAUACGUAGGUCCCGAGCGUUGUCCGGAUUUAUUGGGCGUAAAGCGAGCGCAGGCGGUUUGAUAAGUCUGAAGUUAAAGGCUGUGGCUCAACCAUAGUUCGCUUUGGAAACUGUCAAACUUGAGUGCAGAAGGGGAGAGUGGAAUUCCAUGUGUAGCGGUGAAAUGCGUAGAUAUAUGGAGGAACACCGGCGGCGAAAGCGGCUCUCUGGUCUGUAACUGACGCUGAGGCUCGAAAGCGUGGGGAGCGAACAGGAUUAGAUACCCUGGUAGUCCACGCCGUAAACGAUGAGUGCUAGGUGUUGGAUCCUUUCCCGGAU